CCCUUAGAUGUUCUGGGCCGCACGCGCGCUACACUGACGAAUGCAACGAGCUUAUAACCUUGGCCGAAAGGUCUGGGUGAUCUCCAAAUUUCGUCGUGAUGGGGAUAGAUUAUUGCAAUUAUUAAUCUUCAACGAGGAAUGCCUAGUAAGCGCAAGUCAUCAGCUUGCGUUGAUUACGUCCCUGCCCUUUGUACACACCGCCCGUCGCUCCUACCGAUUGAAUGGUCCGGUGAAGCGUUCGGACCGUGGCCUUUGGACGGUUCGCCGUCUGUUGGCUGCGGGAAGUUCGUUAAACCUUAUCAUUUAGAGGAAGGAGAAGUCGUANCA
This 327-nucleotide ribosomal RNA is filed under the name uncultured eukaryote. RNAcentral's name for it is "partial 18S ribosomal RNA". It matches the Rfam family "Eukaryotic small subunit ribosomal RNA", at positions 1470 to 1796 of the family's 1831-position model. The record is from RNAcentral.